Long non-coding RNA from Syngnathus typhle (broad-nosed pipefish), 3724 nucleotides. RefSeq lists it as uncharacterized. The record is from RefSeq and is a predicted model, not a curated record. The transcript has 9 exons. Lineage: Eukaryota; Metazoa; Chordata; Actinopteri; Syngnathiformes; Syngnathidae.
GCUGGCGGCCUCCUGAGAGUGGAUGUGGUCAGUGACAUCGCCCUGGAAGGGCUGGAUGACCUGGCCCUUCCGUCGCCGCUGAUACCGCACCAGCUGCUUGUCCAGAUUGUCCCCUGUGAGCACAAGCAGUCGCCAUGAGAGGUGGUUUUGAAGUGAGACGCCAACACGCUGACUUUGCCUGUGAUGAGCUCGUAGCUGAUCUCCUUCAGGAACUCGUUGGUGGUCAGCAUGCCUUCAGCUAAAGCCCUCGCUUGGUACUUCCCUGUGGUGGAUACAUAUUUUUUCAUAUUUUUAACAACGGCCGCACAGUAAUAGCGUUCCGAUUCACGAGAGCUGCUACGAGGCACGUACCCAAAUAGGCUUGUGAUUGCCUAUUAACGCCACAAGGUGUCAGUAAAGCAUUUCUAUAUUUUUGGAAAAGCAGCAUGUGAAAUGAUUACAACGUCGCAAACGUACCUAAUACCAUCACGCAGAACUCGUUGCCGCUCAUCUUGGAGGAGUAUAUGAUAAGCACGUAGGUGGGAAGCGACUGCCGGAGGUGGGGGCCCUCACUGAGGGAGCGCAGUGACUCGCAGAUGCCCUCGCCCAGCGAAUUGUGGGUGACCACCACUUGGACCGCGCCCCCGGAAACGCUGGCCUCCAAGCGAGCCAGCCAAGGCAGCUGGGACGGGGAGAUAGCGGGACCGCCGGGACAGCAGAGCAUGGCCUUCAGGACGAUCUGCUCUAGUUCUUCACGAAGGGGGAUCUGAUCCGGACCUGCGCAACAGCUCACCUAGACGUGCCAGGUACUGCAACGUGAGCAGAAUCAUGGUCUCCACGCUGAGCUGCUGGCUGCCGCUAAGGCCGAGGCUCUCCAAUGUGUUCUCGCUCAGUGGGCUGUUCUUGUAGCAGCCCACCAGCAAGGGGCUCACCACCACUUCCCCCACAUUGCCGUAGAAAUAAGUAGCCAACGAAGAAGAAGAAGAGGAGGAGGAGUCUGGUACCAAUGAGGAUGACGGGGCGAACUCCCACACAGUUGAGCAGGUUGUCUGGGAUGAUGACGGAUGCCCCCGCGCUGACAGGCUGAGGCUGGAUGACGCCCGGCCCGGGGGCUUGGGGAGAAACCACAGAACCUACGAUAGAACCUGCACAGUAAACACGGGGACGAAAACACAGGCAUGAUCUAAUAUUCUAUUCGGGUCAAAGGCAUUUUGGCGGGCAAUUUACAUUUAAUAAUGGCAGAAAAGUUUAUUUUUUGUAUUAUUCCUAAUUCUCCAGUCGCUAGAUCUAUCUCCAUGGAGAUAAGAGGGUGACUCAUCCCUAAACGAGAAUGUCAGCAAUGUUGUUUUGUCGUCCUCAUAACAGACUUGGAGAGAUUAUUAGGGGGAGAAAAAAAACUGUCAUGAACAUGUCUGCUGAAAAGCAGACCACAUGCAGGUCAAGCUAAGAGUCUGAUUCACGGAUCGUGGUGCAAAAACUUCCUCAAGAAUAUUCCGGAACCCACCCGGAGGGCAGACGACAGGUCGGAUGGCCGGCACGGGGACAGCCGUGGGCGGGACCGGGACCAUUGAAGUGGGAUGCCACCUUCGAUGGCGCUUCUUGGGAGGACCGGAGUUCAUGGCAGAUGACACUAAUCCACACACACACACAAAAAAACAUCAAAUUGUCACGUUCAAUGUGGAACACAACAAGCAAGCAGUGGCGGACGCAAGUCUCACCCGGACUGUCUCCUAAGUCGGGGCUUCGAUACGCUUGGCCCUGAGCUCCUAAGGUGAUCUGGGAGGGGCUGAGUAAGGGGGGACGCCCGUCCACAGCCAAGCCAUUUGUUGGCCCGUUUACCCUCAGGGCGGUGGGAACUGCAACACGGCAAGGAAGACGUGCAUGGCGUGGCGCCGAGAGGCUUGAUGAAGCCGCACUCUCUGCUCAGAUCCGGGCUAUUGAAGAACACGGAAGCCGGCGUCAUUCUGGUGGGUGGAGAAUCUGGAGGGAAAAAAAAAUCAAGCAGAUUGGUCAGUGACUUUCAUUUUUGUUUCUAAUGCCAGAAAGCAAUUGUUAAAGAUUUGAUUUUUUGACUUUGACUCGGCCUUACCCGAAAGGGAGAAAGGAGACGAUCCGUUUGCGCUGGUUCCGCCGUUCUCUUUGCUGCUGACUGAGGAUGACGAGCUGGGUUUGGACGUGGACGCCGCCCCGCUGGACAACUGCCGCGUUUUACUGUCUGAAGAGAGAAAGGCCAGGAGAGAGGCUGGAGAUCUGGAGCAAAUGGGAUGGAGACCUUUGCUACCUUUCCAGCAGAUGAGCGGUCCUUUGCACAAAGCACCCUGAGAGUUCUUCACCAGCCCACGCAGUUUCCAGAAAAACCUGCCACGCACAGGAAAUUGUUUCUUCAAACCAGAUGGACAGACAAUAUGGCCGUCCCGUCGGGGAGCACGCUGACCUAAAAGUGCAUUUUUGCCGUUGUCGUCGGGCAAAAAGCGGCGGUCCACGGCGCACACCAGGAUGUGCUCGGCCACGCUGGGGGACUUGGCGCCGACCAGCUCGAAGCCCGUCGGGACAUCGAUGGGCUCCGUCGCCAUGGAGACUAGGCGCAGGUCCUUGCCGGCCUGGCAGAAUCCUGAAAAUGAAAAUUCUCAUUUUAGUCAUCGGAGGAAACAGCUGUGGUGUCUUGACUUGAAACGUUUCUCCACUAAAAACUACAUUUGCGGAAUCAUAUCAGUCAAGGUCCUCCAGAUAAUUGGUGACAGUUAGUGGGCGGAACUUCCUGCUUCACACCUGUUACUGGCCCUUGCCAGCGCUCCUCCGCGUCAUUGGAUGAGUGGCUGUUGGUCAGCAGCUCCUGGGCGGGGAGCUCGCCGCUGUGGGGCUCCACUUUGGGUUUCACGUCAGCUGGAGGAUCAUCAUCAUCAUCAUGGUAUCCUGUGAGAGUAUGCAUGCACGCACGCCACUGACUGACCGUCCACGUUGGCAGGAUAAGGCUCGGGCUUCAGGUAGAGCUGCGUGAAGAUGGGUUGCGGGUCUCCGCUGCUGGAGCGCAGCGACGCCUCGAUGGAGUUGUGCAGGGCCUCUUCGAAGCGAGCAGACUUCAACUGCCCGGCGUAGGAAUUCCCCAUGAUCUGGUCGGAGGACAAAAUAGGUAAACCUCAACUGGGAGUGGGAAAUAGACAACUGGAAGGAAGCAGCGUGCAAGUGAGUCUUCUUUCUAUUUCUUUUUAGUGACGUUGUAUGAUGGCUUCUCAUUUGCGGAUAGUGAGAGAUUACACGUGAAAAGAAAAAAAGACACUCAGUCCCACAUCACAUACAACCAAAAUGAAAGAAAGACACUUUUAAUAAUUCUUCUGCCAUGUUUGCAUGAUGCCUGAGUGUUUGUGAGGUCACACUUUAUAGUGACCCUGUUGAUGAGUCCCGUUGCCAAGUUCCCAUUGUUCAGUAUUUUGGACUACUUUUCAACACUAAGGCCUCUUUGUGCGCGGCCUUCCUGUCCGCUAAUGAGCCGAGUCAAGAAUUUGUCGGGUAAACAGAAAUUCCGGACAGCGGGGGAGCAAGCGCACUUUAUAGCUUUGUGCCAAUAUUUACCCGUCCGCAUCAGUCAAUGACAAGGAUCCUAUCCAGAAUUGAAUGUGUACAGUAAAUGGCAUUAGGCCCGUGUUUCAGUUCAUUACCGCGGACGUGCUCAAACAGUUGUUUUAAUCAAGUCGUGCGCGGCUCUUCGCACCUCCCCUCCAAUGGCUAUACGAGGGGAAAAGUCAGC